This is a transfer RNA of 75 nucleotides. It matches the Rfam family "tRNA". Rfam says of the family: Transfer RNA (tRNA) molecules are approximately 80 nucleotides in length. Their secondary structure includes four short double-helical elements and three loops (D, anti-codon, and T loops). The record is from Rfam.
CGGGGUGUGGCUCAGUUUGGCUAGAGCGCCUGGUUUGGGACCAGGAGGUCGCAGGUUCGAAUCCUGUCACCCCGA